Molecule: transfer RNA, 71 nt
Filed under: Loxodonta africana (African savanna elephant)
Lineage: Eukaryota; Metazoa; Chordata; Mammalia; Proboscidea; Elephantidae
Rfam family: tRNA
About the family: Transfer RNA (tRNA) molecules are approximately 80 nucleotides in length. Their secondary structure includes four short double-helical elements and three loops (D, anti-codon, and T loops).
Source: Rfam by way of RNAcentral
GCGUUGGUGGUUCAGUGGUAGAAUUCUUGCCUUCCAUGCAGGAGACCUAGUUUUGAUUUCUAACCAAAGUA